This 500-nucleotide ribosomal RNA is filed under the name Priestia megaterium. Its description in RNAcentral is "partial 23S ribosomal RNA". It matches the Rfam family "Bacterial large subunit ribosomal RNA", at positions 1319 to 1812 of the family's 2925-position model. The record is from RNAcentral. Lineage: Bacteria; Bacillati; Bacillota; Bacilli; Caryophanales; Bacillaceae.
AAGUGAGAAUCUUGUCCACCGAAUGCCUAAGGUUUCCUGAGGAAGGCUCGUCCGCUCAGGGUUAGUCGGGACCUAAGCCGAGGCUGAAAAGCGUAGGCGAUGGCCAACAGGUUGAUAUUCCUGUACCACCUCCCCGCCGUUUGAGUAAUGGGGGGACGCAGUAGGAUAGGGUAAGCGCGCUGCUGGAUAUGCGCGUUCAAGCAGUUAGGCUGAUGAGUAGGCAAAUCCGCUCAUCAUAAAGGCUGAGCUGUGAUGACGAGGGAAUUAUAGUACCGAAGUUCCUGAUUCCACACUGCCAAGAAAAGCCUCUAGCGAGGCGGGAGGUGCCCGUACCGCAAACCGACACAGGUAGGCGAGGAGAGAAUCCUAAGGUGAUCGAGAGAACUCUCGUUAAGGAACUCGGCAAAAUGACCCCGUAACUUCGGGAGAAGGGGUGCUCUGGUAGGGUGUAUAGCCCGAGAGAGCCGCAGUGAAUAGGCCCAGGCGACUGUUUAGCAAAA